AUAAAUUCAGUGAUCGGGAGAGUAAUGACAGAACACCUCAUGUUUCAGCGAGCCGGGAUGGUGCAAGCCGGUAUGAAGGAUCUGACAGGAAGCGCACCCGUGAGAAGGUACAUUGAAACAACAGUAGGUGUACUCGUCAUCAGCGGGCGUUAUCCGCUUAGAGAGGAAUCGAACAGGUUACCGGUUUCAGAUAGCAUUGCAGGUAAGUUGUUCGUAUUCACAUAGAGUGGUACCGCGGGAAUAUGUUAAUCCAUAGCUCUCGUCUCUGUA
Molecule: non-coding RNA, 270 nt
Filed under: Paenibacillus sp.
Lineage: Bacteria; Bacillati; Bacillota; Bacilli; Caryophanales; Paenibacillaceae
Description: T-box sequence
Rfam family: T-box leader
About the family: Uncharged tRNA acts as the effector for transcription antitermination of genes in the T-box leader family. T-boxes are found upstream of many aminoacyl-tRNA synthetase genes and some amino acid biosynthetic genes usually in Gram-positive bacteria.
Source: RNAcentral